GGAGCGUCGGCGCCGAGGGGCGGGGGAUUGCGGAGGAGGUGGCUCCCACCCUUGGUCCUCCGCCGCCGGGUCGCGAUGAGGCUUUGACCCGGCUCCCUUUCAGAGCGAAGGGACGUGUGAUAGCUAUCCACACCUGUUCCAGCUGUAACAGCAACUAAAAGUAACCCCGCCUUAUAUGAACUGCUGCUACACUGAGUUUGGCAUCCACUAUUAGCCCUUAAUCAUACUGUCCUGAGGUGUUUGGGAUUGUAUCAUGUAGGCCAGUCUUAGCUCUCUAAUUAGAUGGAUAAAUAUUGAGGAGUGAUAUUGCCGAGCCAUAUGAUAUUAAGCAUCUCCAAGACACUGAGCUGAGGACCAUGGGAGAGGUGACCAAGAUGUUGGACAGGAGCCCUGCCUCCAAGGAGCUUGCUAUUUAGAGUUGAGUAGGAGAACGGAGAAUCAUACAUAAAUGCCUAGACCACAAGAUAGAAAGUGAUGAGGCUGUGGUGGACUCAAGAUGGCCGACGACUCUUUACUACUAGAGGCAGGGUUGUGUUCUCCUGCCCUUGAACCCAACUGGCCCUGUGGCUUGUCUGGACUAACGAAUGAGCCACAGUAAAGCUGUGACUUCUGAGCUGGCCCUCAAGAGAUCUGCACCUUCUGCCUUUGCUGCUUGGAAUACUCCCUCUUAAAAGCCAUGAAAGUAGUUCAACCUCCCCGAGACCACCAUGUUUGAGGAAGCCCAAAUUAGCCACAUGGAGGGGAGUGCCUGUGGAGGAUGCUGAUCAGGAUGCUGCUCCUAGUCUCAUUCAUAGGAAAUACACACUGAAGUAUUUAGAUGUUAAGGGACCAAAUAUAUGCAACUGACUCUCAAAUACUUCAGAUAAAAUAGUCUGUCACUGAUAUAUUCCAUGACGUAAUGUAAUAUAAACAUAGAAAGUGUGCAAAU
This 928-nucleotide long non-coding RNA is filed under the name Equus caballus (horse). Its description in RNAcentral is "lncRNA (ENSECAG00000031402.2)". Lineage: Eukaryota; Metazoa; Chordata; Mammalia; Perissodactyla; Equidae. The record is from RNAcentral.